Molecule: ribosomal RNA, 293 nt
Filed under: uncultured eukaryote
Lineage: Eukaryota
Description: partial 18S ribosomal RNA
Rfam family: Eukaryotic small subunit ribosomal RNA
Source: RNAcentral
GGUUGAUCCUGCCAGUAGUCAUAUGCUCAUUUUAAAGAUUAAGCCAUGCAUGUCUAAGUAUAAACACUUGUACUGUGAAACUGCGAAUGGCUCAUUAAAUCAGAAAUAAUUUAUUUGAUAGUACCUUUCUACUUGGAUAACCGUGGAAAUGCUAGAGCUAAUACAUGCGCAAACUCCCGACUCUUGGAAGGGAUGUAUUUAUUAGAUCCAAAACCAAUGCGGGGCAACCCGGUUCAUUUGGUGAUUCAUGAUAACUUGACGAAUCGUAUGACUUUACGUCGACGAUGGUUCAU